This is a non-coding RNA of Homo sapiens (human), 2440 nucleotides long. The record is from RefSeq and is a predicted model, not a curated record. NCBI's taxonomy places the organism in Eukaryota, Metazoa, Chordata, Mammalia, Primates, Hominidae.
GCAGUCGUGCGGUGUGACUUGGACAGCUUGCUGCUCUCUGAUGGCACGCGGAGGGAGAAUAAUUAAAAAGGCCAGCAUCACUUACUAACACUCUUCAUCUCAAGUGAGUAAGAAAAAAAAGAUAGAAAUCCCCAGAAGAGAGAGAUCCUGCCUGUAGUUUGGAAGAAGCCACGCGGUACCUGAGAUAACUUCAACAGCAAAGGGCACUUCAGCAAAUGGUGAAGACAGCAAGAAGGCUCCUCUUCUCACACAAUGACAUCUCACAAUCGUGCAGGGCUUUCCAAUUUCCACGGUGCUCUUCACACAUAUUACCCUGUUUAAUUCUCACUACAACCAGUGAUAUCGGCGAGACAGAUAGUCUUUAGCUAACUUUACAGAUGAGGGUACUCAGGCUCACAGAGAGAGGACUUGCCUAAGGUUGAAAGAUAAUAAGAGACAGCUGCAGGUCUUCUGGGUCUUAAUCUGGUGCCAUUUUAGUAUUUUUCAUAGGUUCUUAUAAAAAACAUCCUCUUUAGAACCCGUGACUUAAAGGUGCCUUGAUUCUUAAAAAAUAAAAUUCUUUAGAGAUAGGGUCUUGCUGUGUUGUCCACGCUGGAGUGGUCACAGCUCACUGCAGCCUUAUUCUCCUGGGAUCAAGUAAUCCUCUCACCUCAGCCUCUUAAGUAGCUGGGACUACAGGUGCACACCACUAUGCCCAGCUAAUUUUUUUUAAAAGAUGGGGUUUUGCCAUGUUGUCUACCCUGGACUGAGACUCCUGCCCUCAAGCAAAUCCUCCUCCAAAUUGCUGGAAUUAUGGGUGUGAGCCACCAAAUGCAGCCUUUUUUUUUUUUUUUUUUUUUUUGGAGAGAACACGGUCUUGCUUUGUAGCUUGAGCUAGUAUUGAACUCCUGGCCUCAAGCUAUCUUCCUGCCUCAGCCUCCUAAAGUGCUGGGAUUACAGGCAUGAGCCACUAUGCCCACCCGCUUCCUUGAUUCUUGAUCCAUGCUCAUCCCCGCCUCACUUCUUCACCAUGAGGUUUUUUUUCUCAUAGCCUAUGUUAUUUGUAGUUAUGUGCACUUUGAAAAUACUUCCUGUAUCCUGCCAGCGAGGAAGAACCACAGCUAAUUUCCACUGGCAAAGGCAGAAGCCAUCCUUAACUUCCCAUUUUCCUCUAUUUGUUCCUCCUUUCCUUGAAAGUCAAGUUUACCCAUGAGCUGGUCUACAUUUGUACUAUUUUUACUUCUUCACUCCGCUUUGCAUCUCUACCCAGGGCUAUCUGCUUUCAUUCCUACUUUCCCAUUAAAACUGCUCUAAGUCAUUAACAACCAAUUCCACUGUGCCUUCCUCUCUGAAUCAUUGUAUUCAGUGACCACUCCCUCUCGCAAGACGUCUCCUCUGUCAUACCUGGCAUCAUUCUAUUCCUUCUUCAUUUCUGGUUACCUCCUCUCUAGCUUCAUGUCAGACUUAUCUUCCUUUAUUAAUGCCUUAAAUAUUAGUGUUUCUGAAGAGGGUUUCUGUGGCCACCUUCUAUUCUUAACUGUAAACACUUUGUUUUGUGUAAUGUAAAGCCUUGGCUUCAAUGAUCAUCUAUAGGCUGAUCAUCAAUUAUCAUCUCCAUCCCAAACCACUCUCCUGAAUUCAACCCAGGAUCUCUGGCUCCCUGCUGUUACCUCCUUGGGAUGGUCCACGAGCCCUUCAAUUCAGGGCACCCCAAAUCAUCCCCAAACCUGCCUCCCUUCACCCUCUUCUUUUUCUCCCCCAGCUGCUCUUCAAAUUCUCUCAUUUCUUUCCCUAUUUCUAUUUUCUCUUUUUUAUUGUAUUCCUAUCGCUCUUCUCUUAUUUUCCUAGUGGCUUUUCCAAAGGCCUAACUGUUCUCAUCAUUCUCAGAUAUGCCUUGCCCACAAUGCCUUCUCUGUACUAUGUCUAAUUGACCUACAGAAAGUGCAAAUGUGAUUAUCUUGCUCGCCUUUGUGAGAUCCUUCUGAGGAUCCCACCUUCUUACAUGGCCUUCCAGGCUGUUCAUGACCUGUGUGCUGCCUCUCCCUCGCCUGCUCUCUUCUAACUCGUCCAUUGCCCAUGCUCUGCUUCUAGGUCAUAAAAUGCCCCAUAACUCUUUCAUGCCUCUAGGAUUCCAUAUGAGGUUCCUGCUUCCUGGAACGUUCACCUCGGCUUCCUUCAUUUGACCAACUCCUCCUCCCCUUUCAAGACUGUUCCAGCAAGAAGCAUUUCUCCCCCGACCGAAACCUCCCAUGCUGGGUUACGUGCUACUGCAAGACCCUAUUCCUGCUUCCCUCUCCCACAGCAUGACUCCACUUUCACAAUGACCAAGUUUUCCCAUUUGACCAUGAGACACAUGGAGGCAGAGACCGUGCCCUUCAUCCCUGUCUUCCCAGCACCCAGCACAGAUCCCAAAAUAAACUGGGUGCUUAAUAAAUUAAUAUUACUAUUUUUAUUCCAAGUA